Long non-coding RNA from Cucumis sativus (cucumber), 531 nucleotides. RefSeq lists it as uncharacterized. The record is from RefSeq and is a predicted model, not a curated record. Lineage: Eukaryota; Viridiplantae; Streptophyta; Magnoliopsida; Cucurbitales; Cucurbitaceae. The transcript has 2 exons.
AAAUGGCACAUUCCAUUGCCUUUAAAAUUCCCAAACCAAAAUUAAAAGAACAGAAAGAGUCUUUCACAUCCAUACAUAUAUAUACCUAACCUUCAACAUGGCUGAAGAAUCUGCUCAAAGAAAAACUCGAUGGCCAGAGCUUGUGUUCGUAAAUUUUUGUACUGCUGCUAGGAUAAUAGAAAAAGAGAAUCCUGACGUGAAGGCUAUCAAGAUUCUGGUUGAUAGUCCCAGAAUUCAGAAUUUUGAUAUUAGCCGAGUUUGGGUUGAUUGCAAUAUAGAAGAAAGAGUUGUUAAAGUGCCCAGCGUUGGUUAAAUAUUGGGUGAUGUGUAUAAGGUCAAUAUGUAUAAUGUCUAUGCAUAUGUCUAAGUGAAUUGUAUGCUUAAUUAUGUCAUUCCAAAAUUGUACUAAUAAGUGGUAUUUCUACCCUUUCACUCUGUUUAUUUGUAAUAAAUUGUUGAGUUAAUUGUUCCAACAAACAUCAAACAUCAACAAAGACCAAUCUUUAGAUAUUGCUCAUGCAAGUCAUGUUA